Long non-coding RNA from Tympanuchus pallidicinctus (lesser prairie-chicken), 1893 nucleotides. RefSeq lists it as uncharacterized. The record is from RefSeq and is a predicted model, not a curated record. NCBI's taxonomy places the organism in Eukaryota, Metazoa, Chordata, Aves, Galliformes, Phasianidae. The transcript is spliced from 4 exons.
UCCGGGGCUCCGGCUGCGGGGACGUGGGGGACCUCAGCGAGGCCGAGCCCGCGCCGCCCCGGCCCCGCUCCGCUCCGUGCGGGCCUUCCUGGAGAGCGGCGAGCGCGGGCUGGCGGCCGCCGGCAGGUGGGGGAGCGGGGCGUCCGGGCGGGCGGCGCGGCCCGGCGAUGGCGCUGGGGAACUCGCUGGAGACGAGCGGCUCCGCGGGCGCCUUGACGUCGCGCUGCAGGCGGCGGUCGCGAGGCCGGCGCUGUGCGGAGCGGGACGCUUCUACGUGCGUGCUGGAACUUUCCUGCUGGAAACAGCGCAGAGCAGCGCGGCACGAUGGAGAGAUGCGUGUGAACUCGCAGCCUGGUGGUACCUGAACGCUUUCCGUAUUCCUAAACCAAAGUCAAAACUAAUAAGAGGAGAUGGUGCUGGGCAAGAUGUGCUGGAAAUGUUGGCCUGUGACCGAAAAAGCCAGUGUGGUGGAGGUAAAGUCUGGAGAAGAAUGUGAAGGAAUUGUCUUCAAAGAGAGGGCAGAACUUUACAGCUGGGCCAGAGAUGCCGCUCAGCGGAAGGAGCUCUUGGAGAGCUGAAGCUCCUCUUCCGGACACAGCAGAAGUAUUCCAGGAGCCUCGUGAGAAGGGGCCGAGUUGCUGAGGUGUGUGCAAAGCAUGUCAUCGCCACAGAAAUGAACUCAUUGCCCUCUGAGACAUCAAACUGCUUGAAUUUGGACAGCUACAGGUGAUGCUGACGGUGAAGUGGAAGUAGAGCGAGUUGCGGUCAGAUUAGAAGUUCAAGAACUGGCUGAUUCUUUCGAGAGCAGAUUGAAGAAUGCCAGCAGAGCUUGUCAGAGCUGCAGAAGGGCCAGCUCUCUGUGGCAGCGGAGCUGUCAAAGGACACCGGCCCUGUUGUUGUGUAUUUGGACGUUUCUGCCAGCGAUGAACCUUCAGGACACACAGCCACGGAGCUGCUUUCACACAUUGUCCCUCGGACGGCUGAAAAGCUCAGGGCCCUGUGCACAGGGGAGAAAGGCUCGUGGAUUCAGGAGUACCACGUUUCACAGGAUAGUUAGUGACUUCCUAUGUCAGGUAAGCUUAACGUGAAGGCUUUUCACGGAGAGAAAAAGCCCACCUGGGCUGCAGCACCGCAUGGAUCCUGCCUGAAAGUGGGCUUUUCCAGUUUUUGACUGUAGUGAGAGUAGCCAAAAUCAGCAGGGCUGCUGUCAGCAGCGACGCCUCAAGCUUUCCCGACACUUCUAGAGAGGAUCACGUUUGAUUCUUGGGGAGCUGUGACUUCAUGGGAACGCCACAGCCUGCGUGUGAGACUUCAUUUUGUUCGUGCUGUUAUCUGCCUGAUGGCUCCUCUUUGACAGCUGUUUGAUUUGUGGGCUCUUAGAGCCAGCUUUCAGCCUUUGGCAGCAGCAGGAAGCGGAGCUCCCGACGUGUUGUAGGCAGCGUUUGCUCUGCUCAGGGGCCUUGGCUGCAGCGUGUGUGCAGAGAACAGCGUGCGUGUUUGGCAUGGCUGUGCAGCAGAGAACAGAAAUGGUAGUUUUGUCAUUUUUCAGUGCCUCCCAGGACAGCACUCUGUGGUAGAUCAGAAAUUGGUGUGCGUGUUGGAUUUGCUGUUUAGCAGGUGCAUUCUCCUGCUGCAUCUCUGUGCAUCUCUGUAUCCUACUGUACUUUGACUGCAGGAGUUUUCUCGCAGUAGGGUCAAGGCCACCCAAACUCAGGUCUGUUGUGCUUUGAGUAUGGAGCCCUUUCAAGGCUUGAUUAAGACCUAGCAGAGUAGAAGCCAACGCUGUGUGAACGACAAUUCAAGAGUGUCCUUUUCUGGAACUGCGCUCACAAAUGGUCAGAAUUCACUGUAGGAUGCUUGUGAUUGUUUUGUACUAUUAAGUUCUGUCCAUGA